UAGUGAAAGAAGGUAGACAAUGAGAAAAAAAAACAAGCGAACUAGAACAGCACAUACAGACAGUGGACACACAAACGACGACAUAUAAAGACAAAUAAAAUACUCAGACACGUAAAACGAAAGAGGGACGAGGGUAAGGACUGAGCAGUUGCAAUAAGCAUUUGUAUCAACUCCAAUAUACUGAGACAAAUAUCCCGCAUGGAAAGAAUAAUUGGAAUCAAAACGGACAACCACAAAUAUUAUAGAGAACGGAGUUGGUCUUUUUAGAGAAAAUUCAUCCAUACACA
RNAcentral lists this long non-coding RNA (287 nucleotides) under Mytilus galloprovincialis (Mediterranean mussel). The record is from RNAcentral. Lineage: Eukaryota; Metazoa; Mollusca; Bivalvia; Mytilida; Mytilidae.